UACGGGGGGGGCAAGCGUUGUUCGGAAUUACUGGGCGUAAAGGGCUCUUAUGUUUUUUAUUAUGUCUGUCGUGAAAUCCCUCGGCUUAACCGGGGAACUGCGUCUGAUACUGGAUGGCUUGAGUUCGAGAGAGGUGAGUGGAAUUCCGGGUGUAGAGGUGAAAUUCGUAGAUAUUCGGAGGAACACCAGUGGCGAAGGCGGCUCACUGGCUCGAUACUGACGCUGAGGUGCGAAAGCGUGGGGAGCAAACAGG
Molecule: ribosomal RNA, 253 nt
Filed under: uncultured bacterium
Lineage: Bacteria
Description: partial 16S ribosomal RNA
Rfam family: Bacterial small subunit ribosomal RNA
Source: RNAcentral